GGCGGACGGGUGAGGAACACGUGGGGAACCUGCCCACACGCGGGGGAUAACCUCGGGAAACCGAGGGUAAGACCCCAUGAGCUUGGGUGGCGAGAGGCCGGCCAAGCAAAAGCGCAAGCUGCGGGUGGAGGGCCCUGCGGCCUAUCAGCUAGACGGUGGGGUAACGGCUCACCGUGGCCAUGACGGGUCGCUGGUCUGAGAGGACGAUCAGCCACACGGGGACUGAGACACGGCCCCGACUCCUACGGGAGGCAGCAGCAAGGAAUUUUCCGCAAUGGGCGAAAGCCUGACGGAGCGACGCCGCGUGGAGGAUGACCCCCUUCGGGGCGUAAACUCCUUUUGUGGGGGACGAAGCAAGUGACGGUACCCCACGAAGAAGCACCGGCUAACUACGUGCCAGCAGCCGCGGUAAGACGUAGGGUGCAAGCGUUGUCCGGAGUUACUGGGCGUAAAGGGCGCGUAGGCGGUUGCCCGCGUCGCACGUGAAAGCCCCCGGCUCAACCGGGGAGGGUCGUGCGAGACGGGGCAACUGGAGGCAGGGAGAGGCUGGUGGAAUUCCCGGUGUAGUGGUGAAAUGCGUAGAGAUCGGGAGUAACACCUGAGGUGAAGGCGGCC
RNAcentral lists this ribosomal RNA (615 nucleotides) under uncultured bacterium. RNAcentral's name for it is "bacterial SSU rRNA". It matches the Rfam family "Bacterial small subunit ribosomal RNA", at positions 97 to 726 of the family's 1533-position model. The record is from RNAcentral.